RNAcentral lists this ribosomal RNA (500 nucleotides) under Staphylococcus aureus. RNAcentral's name for it is "bacterial SSU rRNA". It matches the Rfam family "Bacterial small subunit ribosomal RNA", at positions 1 to 483 of the family's 1533-position model. Lineage: Bacteria; Bacillati; Bacillota; Bacilli; Caryophanales; Staphylococcaceae. The record is from RNAcentral.
UUUAUGGAGAGUUUGAUCCUGGCUCAGGAUGAACGCUGGCGGCGUGCCUAAUACAUGCAAGUCGAGCGAACGGACGAGAAGCUUGCUUCUCUGAUGUUAGCGGCGGACGGGUGAGUAACACGUGGAUAACCUACCUAUAAGACUGGGAUAACUUCGGGAAACCGGAGCUAAUACCGGAUAAUAUUUUGAACCGCAUGGUUCAAAAGUGAAAGACGGUCUUGCUGUCACUUAUAGAUGGAUCCGCGCUGCAUUAGCUAGUUGGUAAGGUAACGGCUUACCAAGGCAACGAUGCAUAGCCGACCUGAGAGGGUGAUCGGCCACACUGGAACUGAGACACGGUCCAGACUCCUACGGGAGGCAGCAGUAGGGAAUCUUCCGCAAUGGGCGAAAGCCUGACGGAGCAACGCCGCGUGAGUGAUGAAGGUCUUCGGAUCGUAAAACUCUGUUAUUAGGGAAGAACAUAUGUGUAAGUAACUGUGCACAUCUUGACGGUACCUAAU